GCUCACUUCAACAGUGCAUAUGCUAAAAUCGGAAUGACACAAAGGAGAUUAGCAUGGGCCCUGCAUAAGAAUGACACACAGAUUUGUCAUAGGCACAGACAACAG
Molecule: small nuclear RNA, 105 nt
Organism: Artibeus jamaicensis (Jamaican fruit-eating bat)
Lineage: Eukaryota; Metazoa; Chordata; Mammalia; Chiroptera; Phyllostomidae
Source: RefSeq, a predicted model, not a curated record